AUCCAGCUGACGAGUCUUAAAUAGGAUGAAACGCGUGUCCUGGAU
RNAcentral lists this non-coding RNA (45 nucleotides) under Schistosoma mattheei. The record is from RNAcentral. Lineage: Eukaryota; Metazoa; Platyhelminthes; Trematoda; Strigeidida; Schistosomatidae.